RNAcentral lists this non-coding RNA (112 nucleotides) under Firmicutes bacterium CAG:95. RNAcentral's name for it is "SAM riboswitch aptamer (S box leader)". It matches the Rfam family "SAM riboswitch aptamer (S box leader)". From Rfam's summary of the family: The SAM riboswitch is found upstream of a number of genes which code for proteins involved in methionine or cysteine biosynthesis in Gram-positive bacteria. RNAcentral also lists the same sequence under 1 other name. The record is from Rfam by way of RNAcentral. Lineage: Bacteria; Bacillati; Bacillota.
CUCUUAUUCAGAGUGGUGGAGGUACAUAGGACCUAUGAAGCCACGGCAACCCCUAUAAGGAAGGUGCCUACCUGAGCGAGCAGCGAGCCUAACGGCGAUCGAACAAUAAGAG